This is a long non-coding RNA of Podarcis raffonei (Aeolian wall lizard), 537 nucleotides long. RefSeq lists it as uncharacterized. The transcript has 2 exons. The record is from RefSeq and is a predicted model, not a curated record. NCBI's taxonomy places the organism in Eukaryota, Metazoa, Chordata, Lepidosauria, Squamata, Lacertidae.
CACUACCAUGGUUUACUAGAGGGGGGCUCCACAACCACGGUUUACUGGAAGUGGCUCCACUACCAUAGUUUUUUGUGUUUUUUUCCACUGCCAUAGUUUUAUGGAGGGGGCUCCACAGCCACGGUUUACUGGAGGUGGCUCCACUACCAUGGUUUACUGGAGGCGGCUCCACUGCCAUAGUUUAUUGGAGAUGGUAUCACAUCCUUGGUUUACUGGAGGUGGCUCCAUGGCCAUUGAAGCCCUCGCUUAGUUCGGAUGCCGAAAAUUCUAACCCUGGCCUCCAGAUGCAUCUCCUGCCUCCUCUUCACUUCCACCUCCACAGACUGGUGUUUGCACCAUUGAACGGGCAUUUUCCUGCCCCCUCCUUGCAGGAACUGCAGGUCCAACCUCUUGCCUCUGGUGCUAGCCCACCCUUUUGGCCCCAGGCCCUGAGAUGACCAGAAGUAAAAAAUGAAAAGCCCCCAAAUGUUAGGACCGGCAACUCAAGGUUCAAAACAUCACACAGGAAUUUUACAAGGACUUUAAAAAAUAAAAUAA